Molecule: transfer RNA, 77 nt
Filed under: Alkaliphilus sp.
Lineage: Bacteria; Bacillati; Bacillota; Clostridia; Peptostreptococcales; Natronincolaceae
Also listed under: 1 other name
Description: tRNA-Arg
Rfam family: tRNA
About the family: Transfer RNA (tRNA) molecules are approximately 80 nucleotides in length. Their secondary structure includes four short double-helical elements and three loops (D, anti-codon, and T loops). Further hydrogen bonds mediate the characteristic L-shaped molecular structure. tRNAs have two regions of fundamental functional importance: the anti-codon, which is responsible for specific mRNA codon recognition, and the 3' end, to which the tRNAs corresponding amino acid is attached (by aminoacyl-tRNA synthetases). tRNAs cope with the degeneracy of the genetic code in two manners: having more than one tRNA (with a specific anti-codon) for a particular amino acid; and 'wobble' base-pairing, i.e. permitting non-standard base-pairing at the 3rd anti-codon position.
Source: RNAcentral
GCGCCCUUGGCUCAAUUGGAUAGAGUGCUUGACUACGGAUCAGGAGGUUAGGGGUUCGACUCCCUUAGGGCGUGCCA